CUCCGAACGAUGCUCGGAACCAGCCGCUUCCACGUCCCAGUGCCCCUCCUCAGAAGAAGUCAAGCGGCAAGCAGAACUUCGAAGGACUGCGUACUGAUCAACGCCGAGCUCAGGUGACCGUCAUGCAAGAGCUUCUGCCCAGGAGCAUCCGCCACACAAACUACAGACCCUGACAUCAUGAAAAAUGACGGUACCUACAGCGCCCACUUCACACAGUUCACGGGCCGAGGAAGGUACUCUGUCAUGGCAUACGUUAACGGAGGCAAGAAGACUAGACAUGCGUACCGUAGGCCGGGAUUCCCCCCCCCCCCCCC
Dermacentor albipictus is the source of this 314-nucleotide non-coding RNA. The record is from RefSeq and is a predicted model, not a curated record. Lineage: Eukaryota; Metazoa; Arthropoda; Arachnida; Ixodida; Ixodidae.